Small nuclear RNA from Echinops telfairi (small Madagascar hedgehog), 86 nucleotides. Its record names the gene U4. It matches the Rfam family "U4 spliceosomal RNA". Rfam says of the family: U4 small nuclear RNA (U4 snRNA) is a component of the major U2-dependent spliceosome. The structure of U4 snRNA from yeast and human has been reported. The record is from Ensembl. NCBI's taxonomy places the organism in Eukaryota, Metazoa, Chordata, Mammalia, Afrosoricida, Tenrecidae.
AGCUUUGCACAGUGGCAAUAUCGUGGCCAAUGAGGUUUACCUGAGGUGCGAUUAUUGCCAAUUGAAAAAAAAAAAAGAAAACGAUG